Molecule: ribosomal RNA, 468 nt
Filed under: uncultured bacterium
Lineage: Bacteria
Description: partial 16S ribosomal RNA
Rfam family: Bacterial small subunit ribosomal RNA
Source: RNAcentral
GAUGAACGCUGGCGGCGUGCUUAACACAUGCAAGUCGAGCGAAAAGACGAGGAGUUUGUGGGGUGGUCGUUUGGCGCGGGGGUGUGUAAAACGUGUGUAAACUGCACUUAUCUGACUGAUAACUUCUGGGGACUGCGGCGAAUACCGGGUAGGAUCUAUUGAUCCAUGUGGGUGAUUGGAAAAUGUCGGCGGUUGUGGAUGGUCUCGCGGCUUAUGAGCUGCAUGGGCGGGUAGGUGCGUACCAGGGCUUUGAAGGGUAGGCGGCCUAGGAGGCUGACCGGCGACAUUGCUACUGCGAGAGGGCCCAGACGCCUACGGGAGGCAGCAGUGGGGAAUAUUGCACAAUGGGCGGACGCCUGAUGUAGCAACGUCGCGUGCGGGAUGACGUGUUUCGGGUUGUAAACAGCUUUCUCAUGUGACGAAGCGUGAGUGACGGUAACGAGUAAAGAAGCACCGGCUAACUACGUG